RNAcentral lists this ribosomal RNA (492 nucleotides) under uncultured bacterium. RNAcentral describes it as "partial 16S ribosomal RNA". It matches the Rfam family "Bacterial small subunit ribosomal RNA", at positions 29 to 507 of the family's 1533-position model. The record is from RNAcentral.
AGUGAACGCUGGCGGUAGGCCUAACACAUGCAAGUCGAGCGGCAGCACAGUAAGAGCUUGCUCUUACGGGUGGCGAGUGGCGGACGGGUGAGGAAUACAUCGGAAUCUACUUUUUCGUGGGGGAUAACGUAGGGAAACUUACGCUAAUACCACAUACGACCUACGGGUGAAAGCAGGGGAUCUUCGGACCUUGCGCGAUUGAAUGAGCCGAUGUCGGAUUAGCUAGUUGGCGGGGUAAAGGCCCACCAAGGCGACGAUCCGUAGCUGGUCUGAGAGGAUGAUCAGCCACACUGGAACUGAGACACGGUCCAGACUCCUACGGGAGGCAGCAGUGGGGAAUAUUGGACAAUGGGCGCAAGCCUGAUCCAGCCAUACCGCGUGGGUGAAGAAGGCCUUCGGGUUGUAAAGCCCUUUUGUUGGGAAAGAAAAGCAGCAGGUUAAUACCCCGCUGUUCUGACGGUACCCAAAGAAUAAGCACCGGCUAACUUCGUG